This 276-nucleotide ribosomal RNA is filed under the name uncultured prokaryote. Its description in RNAcentral is "partial 16S ribosomal RNA". It matches the Rfam family "Bacterial small subunit ribosomal RNA", at positions 524 to 800 of the family's 1533-position model. The record is from RNAcentral.
UACGUAGGGGCUAGCGUUAUCCGGAAUUACUGGGCGUAAAGGGUGCGUAGGCGGUCUUUCAAGCCAGAAGUGAAAGGCUACGGCUCAACCGUAGUAAGCUUUUGGAACUGUAAGACUUGAGUGCAGGAGAGGAGAGUGGAAUUCCUAGUGUAGCGGUGAAAUGCGUAGAUAUUAGGAGGAACACCAGUAGCGAAGGCGGCUCUCUGGACUGUAACUGACGCUGAGGCACGAAAGCGUGGGGAGCGAACAGGAUUAGAUACCCGGGUAGGUCCCUGA